GAUGAACGCUGGCGGCGUGCUUAACACAUGCAAGUCGAGCGAAGCACUUAAGAAUGAUUCUUCGGAUGAGCUCUUUUGUGACUGAGCGGCGGACGGGUGAGUAACGCGUGGGUAACCUGCCUCAUACAGGGGGAUAACAGUUAGAAAUGACUGCUAAUACCGCAUAAGCGCACAGUGCCGCAUGGCACCGUGUGAAAAACUCCGGUGGUAUGGGAUGGACCCACGUUGGAUUAGGCAGUUGGCGGGGUAACGGCCCACCAAACCGACGAUCCAGAGCCGGCCUGGGAGGGUGGACGGCCACAUUGGGACUGAGACACGGCCCAAACUCCUACGGGAGGCAGCAGUGGGGAAUAUUGCACAAUGGGGAAACCCUGAUGCAGCGACGCCGCGUGAGUGAAGAAGUAAUUCGUUAUGUAAAGCUCUAUCAGCAGGGAAGAAAAUGACGGUACCUGACUAAGAAGCCCCGGCUAACUACGUGCCAGCCGCCGCCGUAA
RNAcentral lists this ribosomal RNA (494 nucleotides) under uncultured bacterium. Its description in RNAcentral is "partial 16S ribosomal RNA". It matches the Rfam family "Bacterial small subunit ribosomal RNA", at positions 28 to 523 of the family's 1533-position model. The record is from RNAcentral.